UCCUCCCUCAAACCUCUGUGUUUGGUGUUGGGCCGCGUUGGCGUCACAGCCAACUGGUCUCAAAGACAAUGACGGCGUCCGUGGGACCCUCUUCGCAACGAGCAUCUUCGGAAGCACGCGUCGAGUCUAAAGGACCUUCCGGGCCGGUCUACCCUUUAUCUUUCUAAGG
RNAcentral lists this unclassified non-coding RNA (169 nucleotides) under uncultured Sarcinomyces. Its description in RNAcentral is "sequence contains ITS2". Lineage: Eukaryota; Fungi; Ascomycota; Eurotiomycetes; Chaetothyriales. The record is from RNAcentral.